Molecule: unclassified non-coding RNA, 1143 nt
Filed under: Hevea brasiliensis (rubber tree)
Lineage: Eukaryota; Viridiplantae; Streptophyta; Magnoliopsida; Malpighiales; Euphorbiaceae
Source: RNAcentral
CUUUUUCACACAAACCUUGCUCCAACAGUAAAUAUAUAUAAUUUUACCACUUAGACACAAAGCCCCAAUUUCAUGCUUGUGAAAAUUCCCAAAAAAAAGUAACCUUUACACAUCAAAACUUGUAACCUCAUCGACUAAUUCAAAUUCACGCUCCUUGCCUCAGUCACAUUAAGGACUUGGCCGGUGUCGAUCCGCAAAUCGAUUAACCAAAGCAAGUGCAUUACUAGUAACUUGUGCAACAUGAAGUAUUCUUAAUCUUAAAGCAGCUUUCACAUUUACAUUCACACCAGGCCCAUUUCUCUGUAUAAACAUGAGACAAGCAUUUGAUAGCCUUGAGAUGGAAUCUAUACUGUUAGGUACUUCAGAACAAGUCCUCUCAGCUUUUCCAUGUAUUCUGCUGCUUGUUUCUGGUUAACACUAUGUGCAGUUGCAAUGUUUUCAUCAAGAAGCGUCAACAAGGGUCUAUUCAGCGCAUUCCUCUCAACCAAAUCCAAAAGAGUAGCCUUGACAUCCUUUGAAGUCAAAAUCUCAGUUAGGUUCUUCUUUGUUGCUACAAGAUCUGCUUGUAAUUUAUCAUAGGCUUCUGUUGCUUCUUGCAGGGCCUUUUGCAGUGCUUCCAGUUCAAAUAAUCUGUCUUCCACAGCCUGAGUUUUGUUUACAGAAAAACGCAGCUUUCCAAGUUCGACUUGCAGAUGGUCAAAGAAUUCUUUGUUCAAUCGUGGUCUCAUUCUUGCAAUCUCAAAUUCAAUCUCUUGAGCUUCAGUGUCAAGAAAAAACUCCACAAGCCCUUCCACUGUAUCCGGAAUCACUCGUGACUCACGAAGAACUCUGCGACGUUCUUUCUCUUCACGAACUUGCCGUUCAAAUUCUUCUCUGGCCGCAGCAUCGUUCUCAAGGCGUCUCUGGAACUCGAGUCGGGCUAUAUGACCCGUUUGAGGCGGACCCAAUAAACCAUCUGGAUCCCAUUCUAGUCUACCAGCACAGCGAAUUGUGUUUACAAAAGUCUUGGGUUUUACAAAUUUGGGCCUGUAGAAUUGAGCUCCAAUGGCGGAACUAGUAAAGCUGCUGCUGAAUGCUGCGGCCAUUGUUGGCCGUUUUUGAGAGCUUUUGAAUGACUGGUUAUUGAGUUCAGUUAGUUUCGCG